CAGUAUGGUUUCUAAACAAGCACGUGCUUGAAUGAACAUCAACGACUUUGACAAGAAAUUUUGCCCGUGAUUACAUCAACCUUUGAUCAGGCACCGGAUCUUAUCAUGACAAAAAUGAGGUCGAAUAAUUUUACUGUUGCAAUGUUUGAAGUUUGAAAAUACUUAACACUUUAGUAUUAUUAUACAAUUCAAUGUAAUGCUUCUGCUAUUUGGUUUUAUUCCCUUGCAUGAAAAAUAAAUCAUGUGAAAUUUGAUGAAUGCUGGUAGUUAAAUCUGUAUACAUGUUAGGUGAUAUGUGUUGGUCUGAGUCUUCAAA
This 316-nucleotide long non-coding RNA is filed under the name Lathyrus oleraceus (garden pea). RNAcentral's name for it is "Pisum sativum (pea) long non-coding RNA (PSAT_LNC012837)". The record is from RNAcentral. Lineage: Eukaryota; Viridiplantae; Streptophyta; Magnoliopsida; Fabales; Fabaceae.